CCUACGGGGGGCAGCAGUGAGGAAUAUUGGUCAAUGGGCGCGAGCCUGAACCAGCCAAGUAGCGUGAAGGAUGACUGCCCUACGGGUUGUAAACUUCUUUUAUAAGGGAAUAAAGUGAGGCACGUGUGCCUUUUUGUAUGUACUUGAUGAAUAAGGAUCGGCUAACUCCGUGCCAGCAGCCGCGGUAAUACGGAGGAUCCGAGCGUUAUCCGGAUUUAUUGGGUUUAAAGGGAGCGUAGAUGGGUUGUUAAGUCAGUUGUGAAAGUUCGCGGCUCAACCGUAACACUGCAAUGGAUACUGGCAGUCUUGAGUACAGUUGAGGUAGGCGGAAUUCGUGGUGUAGCGGUGAAAUGCUUAGAUAUCACGAAGAACUCCGAUUGCGAAGGCAGCUUACCAAAGCGCCACUGACAUUGAUGCUCGAAAGUGUGGGUAUCGAACAGGAUUAGAUACCCGAGUAGUC
This 460-nucleotide ribosomal RNA is filed under the name uncultured bacterium. Its description in RNAcentral is "partial 16S ribosomal RNA". It matches the Rfam family "Bacterial small subunit ribosomal RNA", at positions 338 to 795 of the family's 1533-position model. The record is from RNAcentral.